UCGGUCUGCGGUUCACGCCUGCGAUCAGCGCAGGCGACCCGGAGGCC
The sequence is a regulatory RNA element, 47 nucleotides long. It matches the Rfam family "L31-Actinobacteria ribosomal protein leader". The record is from Rfam.